UUGAUUCAUUUAUGUUUGUUUCUCAGAGUUUCAGUGUAAAAACAAGAGUUAACUUGGCCGCCGGCGGGCUGCUCCUCGUUACCGAGGGGCUUCAACGAAGAAGCCGGCCUGACGCCGAGGCAACAGUAAGGUAUAAGUUCACAAAGGGUUUCUGGGUGCGCCGAGGCGCGUUCCAGCAAUGAUCCCUCCGCUGGUUCACCAACGGAGA
Molecule: unclassified non-coding RNA, 208 nt
Filed under: uncultured fungus
Lineage: Eukaryota; Fungi
Description: sequence contains ITS1
Source: RNAcentral